This 570-nucleotide ribosomal RNA is filed under the name soil beta proteobacterium BG.Sph.062. RNAcentral describes it as "bacterial SSU rRNA". It matches the Rfam family "Bacterial small subunit ribosomal RNA", at positions 66 to 630 of the family's 1533-position model. Lineage: Bacteria; Pseudomonadati; Pseudomonadota; Betaproteobacteria. The record is from RNAcentral.
ACGGCAGCGCGGGGCAACCUGGCGGCGAGUGGCUUUNCGGGUGAGUAAUAUAUCNGCAACGUACCCAGNAAGUGGGGGAUAACGUAGCGAAAGUUACGCUAAUACCGCAUACGAUCUACGGAUGAAAGUGGGGGACCUUCGGGCCUCAUGCUUUUGGAGCGGCCGAUAUCUGAUUAGCUAGUUGGUGAGGUAAAGGCUCACCAAGGCGACGAUCAGUAGCUGGUCUGAGAGGACGACCAGCCACACUGGAACUGAGACACGGUCCAGACUCCUACGGGAGGCAGCAGUGGGGAAUUUUGGACAAUGGGCGCAAGCCUGAUCCAGCAAUGCCGCGUGAGUGAAGAAGGCCUUCGGGUUGUAAAGCUCUUUUGUCAGGGAAGAAACGGCUGCGGCUAAUAUCCGCGGCUAAUGACGGUACCUGAAGAAUAAGCACCGGCUAACUACGUGCCAGCAGCCGCGGUAAUACGUAGGGUGCAAGCGUUAAUCGGAAUUACUGGGCGUAAAGCGUGCGCAGGCGGUUUUGUAAGUCUGUCGUGAAAGCCCCGGGCUCAACCUGGGAAUUGCGAUGGA